Molecule: non-coding RNA, 88 nt
Organism: Oryza glaberrima (African rice)
Lineage: Eukaryota; Viridiplantae; Streptophyta; Magnoliopsida; Poales; Poaceae
Source: Rfam
GUAUUAUCGUGAGUUCCCUUCAAGCACUUCACGUGACACUAUUUCAAUGUCUAUCAUGUGAAGUGUUUGGGGGAACUCUUGGUAUCGC